Molecule: long non-coding RNA, 1728 nt
Organism: Peromyscus leucopus (white-footed mouse)
Lineage: Eukaryota; Metazoa; Chordata; Mammalia; Rodentia; Cricetidae
Exons: 3
Source: RefSeq, a predicted model, not a curated record
CCCACCCGCCCUUCUGCGCCCGGGCAGCAGACAUCUCCUGAGGAAAACCAGAUUCCCUCCGAAGAGAUUCCUCUUGUCCUGUCAGGCACGUCAAAAAUGCUCAACACUCACUUCAGAAACAACCCGUGACGCCAACACCUGGUUGGGUGUGAGUCCCACAGAACUUGCCUGAUUUCUGUAGACGACUUGUUUCUGAAAACCGGGAAGGAGGGCGCCCGGGGCCACAGCUGUUGUCGCAGACUUCUCCGGGAGAGGAGUGGGAGUUACCUGGGUUAGUCUGGACCCAGCGCCAGACCAUGCCGUCAGGACGUGCCCAUGCCACUAUCUGGAAAGGGCGGACGCCAGAAGUGCUAGGACAGUGAGGCCAUGGGGAACUGGCUUCGGAGCAGACAGAAAUGUGUUCUGUGCAGAAACCUCUUCUGUUGGACCAAAAUCCAUCGCUUCAGGGACAAGGUGUAGACAACUCUCCCUCGAUGCCUUCUUAUAUGCGAGUUUGUUCCCUCCCACCGUGGUUUUUAAGCAUCGUUCCCAGGAUCCUCAGGCCUCCCAAUACCCUCCCGUCUUUUCACAUUCUUACCCUUUCCCCCUUGUAGGUUGUGAGUGUCCUCGGGGAACACUAUGUCCUCUGAAUUAAGCAGGCCAUCAGCCCAGGUGCUCGACAUCUUUUUGGAGCCCUUCCUACAUCAUCAACCUCAAAUCUUAUUUGCAUUCUGUUGAAGUAUUUAAAGUUGCUUAUUAGUGUUUUGUAAGACAGAGCCAAGGACAGAAUGCUGUUCCCACUAAAGACCUCGUUCCUUCUAUCCAACAUUCCUCAGUGGACUUUGAGUACAGUACCGACAACUUCCACAUUUAUGUAACUGAACCGUCUUCUUAAUUCAUAUUCAAAAAAAAAGUGAGAAUUUGUGGACUACAAGUAAACUGUCUCCAGAAUUCCUCGAAACUGUCAGCCAUACACAAAAGGAAAAUUACUGUGGCAUCAUCAUAGAAAAGUCUGGGCUCUCUACAAAGAAAUCAGAAAAGGCUGGGGAGAAUGAAGCCUUGAAAGGACUCUUAAGUAUGACCAGAAAUGUCUUCAGCUAUCCUUGUUUUUUGUAUUAUUUUUCCUCUCCACUUAAAUCAAGUUAAAUAUUCCUCUGUGUUCUAUCCAGCAUAUUCUUUUCUGAGUGUGAUGUAGGUGAGGCUUAUUCCAGCUCACAGGUUAGAGUGGCUUAGAGGUGAGUCAGCAGACAGUAAAGGGCAAGGCUUCCGUGUUGGCCUGACAACCUCCUUGUGCAGUGUUUGUUGUUAGAAGUUAAAGAUUCCUUAAGACAUGGGACAUGUUAAGAAGAAAUCCCUGUACCCAGACGUUAAUGUUACUCCACAGUGAGUGUUAGGCUAAAGACAUAAAUGGGAGAGCAGAGGAGCUGAAUGAUUUUUAAUUUACCAAAAAUGUUCCCCAUACAGAUCUGCAAGGAUGGGAUGUCCUCUUACUGCUGUGGGUUGGAUUCCGUCUGCAGAGCUUUCCUUAGAGUGGUUCACGCCUGAUUAGACUCAGGGACCUGGGGAGUCAGAGUGACAGGCACACCUGGGAGAAUCCGAAAACGGGCUUGGAAGUCUCUCUCCAGGGUGGAGUGUUUAGAUUGGGAAGGCAUCAGAAAGUCCAUGCAACCCUUGUUCUACUGCUCUAAGAACCUGGCUGACUCCUCUACUGAAGAGCACAAUAAAACAUGUCUUGGAAUUUGUUCCUUA